This 467-nucleotide ribosomal RNA is filed under the name uncultured bacterium. Its description in RNAcentral is "partial 16S ribosomal RNA". It matches the Rfam family "Bacterial small subunit ribosomal RNA", at positions 28 to 507 of the family's 1533-position model. The record is from RNAcentral.
GACGAACGCUGGCGGCGUGCUUAACACAUGCAAGUCGAACGGAAAGGCCCUGCUUUUUGGGGUGCUCGAGUGGCGAACGGGGGAUUAACACGUUAGUAACCUGCCCCUUACUUUGGGGUGACUUCAGGGAACUGGGGCUAAUACCGGCUAAGAACUUCUGCUGCCUGGUGGGGGUUGGAAAGUUUCGGCGGUUGGGGAUGGACUCGCGGCUUAUCAGCUUGUUGGUGGGGUAGUGGCUUACCAAGGCUUUGACGGGUAGCCGGCCUGAGAGGGUGACCGGCCACAUUGGGACUGAGAUACGGCCCAGACUCCUACGGGAGGCAGCAGUGGGGAAUAUUGCACAAUGGGCGGAAGCCUGAUGCAGCAACGCCGCGUGCGGGAUGACGGCCUUCGGGUUGUAAACCGCUUUCGCCUGUGACGAAGCGUGAGUGACGGUAAUGGGUAAAGAAGCACCGGCUAACUACGUG